GAUGAAGAACGUAGCGAAAUGCGAUAAGUAAUGUGAAUUGCAGAAUUCAGUGAAUCAUCGAAUCUUUGAGCGCACAUUGCGCCCGCCAGUAUUCUGGCGGGCAUGCCUGUUCGAGCGUCAUUUCAACCAUCAAGCCCCCGGCUUGUGUUGGGGACCUGCGGCUGCCGCAGGCCCUGAAAAGCAGUGGCGGGCUCGCUGUCACACCGAGCGUAGUAGCAUACAUCUCGCUCUGGGCGUGCUGCGGGUUCCGGCCGUUAAACCACCUUCAUAACCCAAGGUUGACCUCGGAUCAGGUAGGAAGACCCGCUGAACUUAAGCAUAUCAAUAAGCGGAGGA
Molecule: unclassified non-coding RNA, 336 nt
Filed under: soil metagenome
Description: partial contains 5.8S ribosomal RNA, internal transcribed spacer 2, and large subunit ribosomal RNA
Rfam family: 5.8S ribosomal RNA (bases 1-120)
Source: RNAcentral